Molecule: long non-coding RNA, 776 nt
Organism: Neodiprion fabricii
Lineage: Eukaryota; Metazoa; Arthropoda; Insecta; Hymenoptera; Diprionidae
Exons: 2
Source: RefSeq, a predicted model, not a curated record
CAGUAUUUUAUUAUAGGAACUUUACCCUCUGAAAAAAAACGAAAGAGCAAGCUGAUGGUUGAUUUUCAGGGAGAAGGCCGGUAGAGGACAGACGAAUAAGAAGUGGAAUCCAUACUGCUCCGAGGAGUACUACAUAGAUCACCGAGUCGUAAUUUUGUGGUGCAAGAAGAACAAGAUCCCAAUAGGAAAAAUCUACAGUGAGGAAGACCGCGAAUUCUGUGAAUGGGAAAUUGGCGAGGUCGAAAAGUUGGUGAAAGAAAAUACAUCAUUCGAGACUUCUUAUUAUUAUUAUAUGAAAGUAUUCGAUUGUAAAUACUUGCCGAUGGAAUUAGAGUAAUCAAGUCGCUGGUGUCCAGUUCUUAAGAAUUUUGUCAUUUUCAAACCUGACAUUUUAGGUAGAAUUACAAGAUGUGCAGUGUGAGUAAAUUGUUAGUCAACGUAACUGAAAUCGCUAUGAUAAUUUAGCGGGUAAAGUGCAUUUUCAGAUUGGUCUCAGAAUGCAUGGUGAUUAAUUAUUUAGUGGUGGAAAGGAUAAAAAGACAUGAGAUUGAACACUGUAUAUAUGUUAUAUAUAUUGUUACAAAGGGUGAAAUCACCCGUUUUGCCCCUUUUUAAUGAUCUAGUAGUCAUCAUAGAUUAAAGACGUUUAUAGACCUCUUAUGUCUUUCAAAAGAAUAAGGUUGCUGCGUCAACCAACAUUAUUGUAAAAACAGUCUUGUUUCAGACUUAAAACCAGAAACACGUACCCUGCAAUUAAAGCUUUUUCACGACAUUUA